This 72-nucleotide transfer RNA is filed under the name Bacteroidales bacterium. Its description in RNAcentral is "tRNA-Thr". It matches the Rfam family "tRNA". From Rfam's summary of the family: Transfer RNA (tRNA) molecules are approximately 80 nucleotides in length. Their secondary structure includes four short double-helical elements and three loops (D, anti-codon, and T loops). Lineage: Bacteria; Pseudomonadati; Bacteroidota; Bacteroidia; Bacteroidales. The record is from RNAcentral.
GCCUAUGUAGCUCAGCGGUAGAGCACUUCCUUGGUAAGGAAGAGUUCACGGGUUCAAUUCCCGUCAUCGGCU